AACAGGUUUGGCUACUUUAGUCGUUUCUGGGAGCACUCAUUUUCUCUAGCAUGUAAAGAGAUUCUGGAGAAUUGCAUUGCGGGUGUCCCAAUACUUAAUGUACCUGGCUCCAUUCUGGUAUGCAACUUCCAUUUUUCACCAUUCAUUCAAUUUCAAAUGGAAAAAACAAAAAACCUGUUGAUAGUAUAAGGUUUGUUUCGUGUGCUUUUAACCUAGAAACAACAACAACAGAAAGUCCGAUGCCACUCAUCAAACUCCACCCGCAUGUGUUUCAUAUAAAAAUCUUGCCAGCAGCAUUCAUACAGAUACUGAGCGUGAACACUUGUGAUUUCAUCGCAGAGCAUCAUUCACCUCACAAUGACUAGCCAUGGUAGGAAAUAUUUUCUAUUGUUGAUGCUUUACUGUCCGAUUCCAUACAAAAAAAUAAAAAAAACCUUGUUAUAAAUUCUCUGAUAGGUACUAAAAGAAAGCGUAGUGAUGAACCGUCCGGCUCAAGUGCAAAGCGACCUGACAACAGUUCACAGGAACUUAGAAGUAAGUAAUCUUAGAAGGCAAGUAUUUAUUUUUUUCUCUAAAAUAGCACUGUUAUUUAAUUGUAUAUUCAAAAUCUAAAAUACAAUGACAACAACAAAACAGCAUAGUAAUGGAUGUUAGUGUGGACCAGAUCUUCUCUUUUAGAAAGUUUCAAAUACGCUAGAAUGUUAUUGAUAUUCUUGGCGAUCAAGAAAGCCAUAUUGUAUUUACACAUUCAUGCAUAUCACUUUUGAACUAUGACAAUGUUUUGCACUUGUUAUAUAUGUCAUUAAAUAUGCAUCAAUGCCUGAAGCAAUGUUGUAAUUUAGACCUAAAAAUGAUUAGGUAUUCAUUUCACAGUUGGAGUGGUCAACUUAUUUUGGAGUAAAAAGAAAAAAAGACAGCACUGUAAUAAUGCACUAUACAUGCAUUGAUAGAUAAUUUAACCUUAAACAUAUAAAAAUGAAUGCAAUAAUAAGGUAGCAAUGCUCCUGCAA
RNAcentral lists this long non-coding RNA (1010 nucleotides) under Sinocyclocheilus anshuiensis. RNAcentral's name for it is "lncRNA (ENSSANG00000004063.1)". Lineage: Eukaryota; Metazoa; Chordata; Actinopteri; Cypriniformes; Cyprinidae. The record is from RNAcentral.